Molecule: long non-coding RNA, 162 nt
Organism: Brassica oleracea var. oleracea
Lineage: Eukaryota; Viridiplantae; Streptophyta; Magnoliopsida; Brassicales; Brassicaceae
Exons: 3
Source: RefSeq, a predicted model, not a curated record
GCAUACCUUGAGGAUUUUUACAAGUUCUGUCAGAAACUUGAUGGGGCAACAUCAGAGAUUAUGUCUGACCUUCUAGCCUUUGAAGCUGAUAGAAGAGCUGUGAACAUCACCAUCAAUAGCAUUGGCACUGAGCUUACAAGAGAAGACAGGAAGAAACUGUAC